AGAAUUUAUGGGGACUCUUCAACAUUUAUAUAAAACCUCUUCAACAGACGUGGAUACUGGAAACCCUACUUGAAGCACACAGAACAAUAAUUUUGCAAAUAAAAAAGAUUUUAGAAAAAUUGUCAGUGGGUACAGACGAGAUCUCUAAAACGUUUUACGAGCCUCUCGAUGGCUUUCCAUUGAAAUCAUUGGAAAACUUUUUUACUUUGAGAAUGAGACCAAAAUAAGUGAACGCAAUAAAUUGUGUCAUUAUUUACAAUCUUUGGGAGAUGUGAAAUUGAGAGAAUUUUGCAUACAUCUCUAAAACACAUAAUGACUGACAAAUUAGUUAAUCACUUCAAUAGGGAACUGAGAAGUUUGACAACACAAAAAUGUCUAAUUUAUUAUACAUUGCAGCACAGAAAUACUCGCUUUUUAAAGAUCCUAAAAAUAAGAUAGAAUUUAAGCAGAAAUGCUGGAGGCAUUUUUUAAAGCAACGAUAUCGCAAGAAAAUGAGACAAGUAAUUGCUGAGUUUGAGACGAAUCAGAAUCUACCAUUGAAUCCGAUACCAAA
This 553-nucleotide long non-coding RNA is filed under the name Pogonomyrmex barbatus (red harvester ant). RNAcentral describes it as "uncharacterized LOC105433772, transcript variant X1". Lineage: Eukaryota; Metazoa; Arthropoda; Insecta; Hymenoptera; Formicidae. The record is from RNAcentral.